UAGGGAAUCUUCCGCAAUGGACGCAAGUCUGACGGAGCAACGCCGCGUGAGUGAAGAAGGAUUUCGGUUCGUAAAACUCUGUUGUUAGAGAAGAACAGCGCAUAGAGUAACUGUUAUGCGUGUGACGGUAUCUAACCAGAAAGCCACGGCUAACUACGUGCCAGCAGCCGCGGUAAUACGUAGGUGGCAAGCGUUGUCCGGAUUUAUUGGGCGUAAAGCGAGCGCAGGCGGUCAAUUAAGUCUGAUGUGAAAGCCCCCGGCUCAACCGGGGGGGGUCAUUGGAAACUGGUUGACAUGAGUGCAGAAGAGGAGAGUGGAAUUCCAUGUGUAGCGGUGAAAAGCAUAGAUAUAUGGAGGAACACCAGUGGCGAAGGCGACUCUCUGGUCUGUAACUGACGCUGAGGCUCGAAAGCGUGGGUAGCAAACAGG
Molecule: ribosomal RNA, 429 nt
Filed under: Bacteroidota bacterium
Lineage: Bacteria; Pseudomonadati; Bacteroidota
Description: Bacteroidetes bacterium partial 16S ribosomal RNA
Rfam family: Bacterial small subunit ribosomal RNA
Source: RNAcentral